This 448-nucleotide ribosomal RNA is filed under the name uncultured bacterium. Its description in RNAcentral is "partial 16S ribosomal RNA". It matches the Rfam family "Bacterial small subunit ribosomal RNA", at positions 330 to 792 of the family's 1533-position model. The record is from RNAcentral.
GCCAGACUCCUACGGGAGGCAGCAGUGGGGAAUAUUGGACAAUGGGGGGAACCCUGAUCCAGCGACGCCGCGUGAGUGAAGAAGUAUUUCGGUAUGUAAAGCUCUAUCAGCAGGGAAGAAAGAAAUGACGGUACCUGACUAAGAAGCCCCGGCUAACUACGUGCCAGCAGCCGCGGUAAUACGUAGGGGGCAAGCGUUAUCCGGAUUUACUGGGUGUAAAGGGCGUGCAGCCGGGCCGACAAGUCAGAUGUGAAAUCCGCGGGCUUAACCCGCGAACUGCAUUUGAAACUAUAGGUCUUGAGUGCCGGAGAGGUAAUCGGAAUUCCUUGUGUAGCGGUGAAAUGCGUAGAUAUAAGGAAGAACACCAGUGGCGAAGGCGGAUUACUGGACGGUAACUGACGGUGAGGCGCGAAAGCGUGGGGAGCAAACAGGAUUAGAUACCCGAGUA